UCUAAUUUUUCUUUUAAUAUAUCUUUCUACUCUUGAUAUUGAUGGUUACAACCUGGUUCUAUAAGACAGACCAUCAUGUGUAUACCUAAAUGGAGAACCUUGAUAGAAGACUCCAUGCAUUCCAAGUCAAAUAUUAGAGAAAACCAAAGAAAAAUUAGAACUUAAUUCCCCAUGUAAUUACAAUUGUCUUUAUUGUAUUUUUAACCUUAUAUUUUCACACCUUUUACCCUUUCCCUGAAGCUUGAUCAUUGCUGCUGGGCUAAGCAAAGCCACUAAUCAACAACGUUUACCCUUCUUGCAAAAAAGCGCUCCUGAUCCUGCUGUGAUUGAACUCACUAGGGAAGAUGGUCUCGCACCUAAGCUAGAUGCUCUUGCAUAAUUAGAAGAAGCUCCAGCCCCAGAUGGAGUAAAGAAUGCUCCAUUUAGCAACAAAUCUCCUUCAGACCUCCAAUUCCAACGCCUCCACUCACUCUCUGGUGCAUCCUCAUGCUUAGUCACCUCUUUGUUAAAUCUAUCAUUAGGAGCAACAAAUCUGUUUCCUUGACUAUUAAUUGUAGGAUCAGCACUGCCACCAAUUGCAUACAUUUCCCAAUGUGAAUAGUCAUUGUUCACAACAUGGAAAUACCCGUGUCUACACCUUGGCAUUCUCUGCACAAGCCCUUCUCCAAAAUGGUUGAAGGCAAUUGUGACCUGCAUGUUCUUAUCCUGAGUAUAGGUAUCACUGUGGCCCAUGAGCAUAACCUUGUUAUGAUGAGUCAUGUAAUUGUUAGAGAUAGUAAUGGCUGUGGAACCAUGGAUGGCAUCAAUUAAUCCAUCAUUGCAAUUUGACAAAGAGCAAUGAUCAACCCACACAUGACUUCCUCCAAAGAUGGAUACACCGUCACCGUCUGAUAUAGUCCUCCACCCAUAAUGGCUAGGGGAGUCCCUCACAUAAGUAUUCCCUCCUUGCUUACAGUCAUGUAUAUUUAUACCAUGGAUUAUAAUAUUGGUCACAUAUUGUAUAGUGAUACAUGGACCACCUGCAAUGUGGACACUAGCUCCUCUUCCAUCAAUGGUCUUGAAAGAGUUCAUUAUAAGCUCUUCCUUUAGCUUGAUCACCAUGUCACGAGCAAAAAUUAUCCAGAGAGGCUCAUCUUGGAUAACUGCAUGUCUUAAAGUCCCUGGCUUGGGGUUCACAGGGUCAUCAUCUCCAGAAUCUGUAACAACAUAUAUCUUACCAUCUCUCCCACCAAUGGCAUGUUUACCAAACCCAAUUGCACAAUCAGCCAACCUCUGCCGGUUCUUCUCCCAGUUGGGGUCACACCGCCAGCAAUCGUCAAUUGGAUUGCCCGUUCCACAGGAGAGAAACCCCAAAUUCCUCCUGGAUGCAUUGAUGCUCCUGUGAACUUCUUCUACUACUAAUUCAGGAUCCUGAACUGGUGAAGAAGAAAUGAAUCUUGGAGCCACUGCUACUAGUAAAAGAGUUAAAAGAGAAAGUGGGAUUGCCAUUGGCUUCAUCUCAGUGUAGGGAUAGCAGGAAAUGGGCACUGAAA
RNAcentral lists this unclassified non-coding RNA (1532 nucleotides) under Hevea brasiliensis (rubber tree). Lineage: Eukaryota; Viridiplantae; Streptophyta; Magnoliopsida; Malpighiales; Euphorbiaceae. The record is from RNAcentral.